Astatotilapia calliptera (eastern happy) is the source of this 274-nucleotide long non-coding RNA. NCBI's taxonomy places the organism in Eukaryota, Metazoa, Chordata, Actinopteri, Cichliformes, Cichlidae. The record is from Ensembl.
AACAACACACUGACAACACCGAAACGUAACAGUUCCCCCCACCCAAAAAUCAAACAUUUAACACCAAGUGAAAAGUUUGAUCCAGACAGACGAAGCCGAUGAAGGCUGGAGCGGUCCCACUGACCCUCCAGCAGACGACGAAGGCUGGGGCGGUCCCACGGACCCUCCCCUCAGCGAAGGCAGACGAAGCUGAUGAAGGCUGGAGCGGUCCCACUGACCCUCCAGCAGACGACGAAGGCUGGAGCGGUCCCUCGGACCCUCCAGCGAAGGCAGA